This 494-nucleotide ribosomal RNA is filed under the name uncultured bacterium. RNAcentral describes it as "partial 16S ribosomal RNA". It matches the Rfam family "Bacterial small subunit ribosomal RNA", at positions 28 to 507 of the family's 1533-position model. The record is from RNAcentral.
GAUGAACGCUGGCGGCGUGCUUAACACAUGCAAGUCGAACGGAAAGGCCUGCUUUUUCUUGUGGAUUGCGUGUCCUCGAGUGGCGAACGGGUGAGUAACACGUGAGUGAUCUGCACUCAACUUGGGUAUAAGCCUGGGAAAUUGGGUCUAAUUCCCGAUAGGACUGCAGGGUGGUGCCUGUGGUGGAGAACGAUUUUCUAGUGGUUGGGGAUGAGCCGGCGGCUUAUCAGCUUGUUGGUGGGGCAAUGUCCUACGAAGGCGGCGAGGGGUAGCCGGCCUGGGAGGGGCGACGGCCGAAUUGGGACUGGGAUACGGCCCAGACGCGAACGAGAAGCAGGAGUGGGGAAGAAUGGGCCGUGAGCGGGAGCCUGAUGCGGCGACGCAGCGUGGGGGAUGUCGGGCUUGGGAUUGUAAGCUCCUUGCGACCACGAGAUGGCCGCGUGGUUGGAAGGGUGGUGACGGUAGUGGAAGAAGAAGCACCGGCUAACUACGUG